CCUACGGGAGGCAGCAGUGGGGAAUUUUGGACAAUGGGCGCAAGCCUGAUCCAGCCAUGCCGCGUGCAGGAUGAAGGCCUUCGGGUUGUAAACUGCUUUUGUACGGAACGAAAAGGUCUUUUUUAAUAAAGAGGGCCCAUGACGGUACCGUAAGAAUAAGCACCGGCUAACUACGUGCCAGCAGCCGCGGUAAUACGUAGGGUGCAAGCGUUAAUCGGAAUUACUGGGCGUAAAGCGUGCGCAGGCGGUAAUGUAAGACAGAUGUGAAAUCCCCGGGCUCAACCUGGGAACUGCAUUUGUGACUGCAUUGCUGGAGUGCGGCAGAGGGGGAUGGAAUUCCGCGUGUAGCAGUGAAAUGCGUAGAUAUGCGGAGGAACGCCGAUGGCGAAGGCAAUCCCCUGGGCCUGCACUGACGCUCAUGCACGAAAGCGUGGGGAGCAAACAGGAUUAGAUACCCUGGUAGUCCACGCCCUAAACGAUGUCAACUGGUUGUUGGGUCUUCAUUGACUCAGUAACGAAGCUAACGCGUGAAGUUGACCGCCUGGGGAGUACGGCCGCGAAGGUUGAAACGUCAAAUGAAUUGACGG
This 587-nucleotide ribosomal RNA is filed under the name uncultured bacterium. Its description in RNAcentral is "bacterial SSU rRNA". It matches the Rfam family "Bacterial small subunit ribosomal RNA", at positions 338 to 916 of the family's 1533-position model. The record is from RNAcentral.